RNAcentral lists this transfer RNA (72 nucleotides) under Dallia pectoralis (Alaska blackfish). Its description in RNAcentral is "tRNA-OTHER". The stretch from base 8 to 64 matches the Rfam family "tRNA", at positions 8 to 63 of the family's 71-position model. Rfam says of the family: Transfer RNA (tRNA) molecules are approximately 80 nucleotides in length. Their secondary structure includes four short double-helical elements and three loops (D, anti-codon, and T loops). Lineage: Eukaryota; Metazoa; Chordata; Actinopteri; Esociformes; Umbridae. The record is from RNAcentral.
AGUUGGUUAGCUCAGUGGUAGAGUGCAUGCUUUGCAUGUAUGAUGUCCUGGGUUUAAUCCCCAGGUUGAGAA